This 1771-nucleotide long non-coding RNA is filed under the name Spirodela polyrhiza (greater duckweed). Its description in RNAcentral is "long non-coding RNA (SPOL_LNC000518)". The record is from RNAcentral. Lineage: Eukaryota; Viridiplantae; Streptophyta; Magnoliopsida; Alismatales; Araceae.
GCAGUUUGUAUUUACUGAUUCUGGGCCUCAGAUCUAGAUACAACUGGUAGGAAGGAGGCCAAGGGAGAAGGAAGAGGUCUGCCUUCCAUUCUUAAGCCUUCUCUGAUAGGUUUGGAAACCUAAAAUUUUGCCUCCGUUGAAGUGAGGGAUCGGAGGACUGGUGGUUCCUAUUUGACCGGGGAGAGCAAAUGAUGAAGUGUACCAUUGCCUUUGACUGACCCAAAUCAGUGGCAAUGGCUGAAGUGUAAGAUAACACGAUCCUGUGGCUCCAGAGUUAUUUUACUCAUUAAAUUUACGAUGCGAUUUCCUGUCGUCUUUAGAAGAUAAUUAUCAUCAAUAUAAAUAUUUUUUUUCCUCAAAGAGGAAGAAAGUGCUCUGUUCAUGCUAUCGUUGAUGUAAGCUUUGUUAAUUCCUUGUUAUUGAAACUACGUUCUAGGACUAUUUCUGUCACAUAGUCACUCCGUCAACAUAGUUAUUCAUGUCCAUAUAGUCACUCCAUCAACAUCAUCAGGCGUCCUAUUCUCUCUCAAAUUUUAUUUUGAUCAGGUACUCGGUGGCCGAGUUUCAGGUCUAUGAUCUUCUUAUGAUGGGGAAAGGGGAGUUUGCAGCAGAGGGAUGCGAUUCUGAUGAUGGAAAAUGGACAACUCCAUCAACAAUUAUCGAUGUCAUUGGAAGGCUGUCACCGGCGAUGGUAGUCAGCAAGUUGCAGUGUUCAUCACUCUGCUUCCCUGGAGACCCAUCCGAAGGUUUGUCCAACUCAAUUGAAAUUACCUAUUGAGGUAUAGAAUCUGCGUAGCACAGAAUAAUGAUGACAUGGGGUCUAUUGAGAGUUAGCAAACCCUUAUCGUCAUAAACCACGAAAAAGUAGUGAGAGACAGUAAUGGAAGGAACACCUAGGAUUCAAAGUGGUUUACUCCACUGCAAGAGAUAUGUCUACUCACUGUUAUGAACUUGACAUCAAUCAUAAUUGGCUUCCACAUGGCAAGAUCAAUCAUAUAUCUAGGGUUCUCAAGCAUGUGAAGGUCUACGAUUUUUCUUUUGCAUGCUUCAACCACUAUGUGUAAGUUUCAUUGCAUUUGAUUUAUUAUUUAACGAGUUUGAUCUCACUGUUCUAGGACUCAUCAUUCUAAUUAUGCAAGGUUCAUCUUCAUCAAGAAAAAAUCCAAUCUCACAUAGUCUUCUUUACUAAGGCUACUUUUGAAUCAGGUUUCUCACUUAGAGUGCAGCUAUGGAGAGGUAUGGAAAGCCUGUAACGGCAGCCGUGCGCAGAGCUCGAGAGGCAACUGGAAGGGAGAAAGGGGGGAGAACUUCGGUAUGUUCUAUGGGCCAACGUGAUGUUGAAUGUGACUCCAGACUUAUGACUCAAACCCUAGUACUGGGCCAGGCCAGUAAUCAUGGCAUUGCACUUGACAUCCACUUCUUGCUAACGUGUGCACGUUGACUAUAAUAUUAUGUAGAUGAGGGAGAUUCCCAAAUUGGACGGACCGUUGACUCUAAAACCUUGAGAAUAUUUUUGACUGACAAAAUCGCCAUUUUAAAAGUUAUUCAACAGUUAAAAUAUUUUUAAAAGCAUUGAUUGAUGUUCAUAGGAAUAUACCAUAACAAUCGAUCAAAAUUAGUCAAACUUGGCCAAUGAUAAUAUCUAGAGACAUAAUUUGGUAGCAGCCUUGAUUCCCAUAGGAAAAAAGGUUAGUUUGGUUCAAGAGAUGCAAGUAUACAAGAGAACACGCAGAAGGGGCCAUGAUUUAGAGGGGACCCCUAACUUUCUUCA